AUCCCAAGAAAGCAAGCAGUUUAGUUUUGCUUUCGAACCUUCCUGUUUCUCCCUUUACUUAUUAGCCCAAUAAAAUCAAAUAUCACGUCCUCCCUCCUGUCUUUACAGUUUUCUAACUCAGACUUGCCAGGCGCUUCGAAGCUGUUUGGAAGCGUCCAGACGCCCUCCAGUGGUGGGCCUGAAGUCCGCACCCAGCGGGGGUAUUGCCUGCAGCUCAGCCCGGAUUGAGUUCCAUGGAGAAACUGGGGUCAAGAUCAGUAACGACUUGAAGAGAAAGCAACAGCUCACAUCGGCAUGGAACUACCUGGACGUAAUGAGCUCUUGCCUAAAAGUUGAGUCGUUUCUCAGUUGCAGAAAUUUUUCCUACCUGAAAAGAUCCUGAAAUUUUCCUAGGAAAGUAAUUCCUCUAUUUAUGACUAGGUAUAAAUUGCACCCUGUGUAAUUAUAGACUUCGUGACAGACCACCCCAACAAACCAACCACCUUCCUAAUUAAAAAAAAGAAGAAAAUUCGGCGUAUUAACACAAAUGUUUGUCUGCCAUUUCUAUAUUUCACAAAAACUCCAGGAGUGAGAAAGAAGUUGGAAAACCAAAGCCAGUAGAUUGAAGGAUAAGCAGUUAGUUUUUAAAUCAAAUUUUUAUUUAAAACUUUAUUUACAAAACCCCCUUAUGCCCCCCCCCCAUCUGUAAUCUUGCUGAUGUUCAAGUUCUUGGCCUGUUUUAUGGUGCAUUUGUUUUUUUCCUUUGCAGGGAUGAUGCAUCGCUUAGCCUUUCUGAAGGAGCUGUACUAAGUGCUCAGAUGACUGAGGCAGUUUUGCAGGAAAUGUUCUGGACUCUUUUAAGGGACAUGUGUAGCUUUAGGAAGAAGAGAAUUCACACUCCUGUCUUGGGGAAAAUGCUGAUCCUCAUCAGAAAGUCUUUUUAGUCAGGGAAAUAUCAGGUAUCAGGGAGUUAGCAAGCUGGCUUCCUGUGGUGUCAAAGCCAAAGGACUAAAGAAAAAGAAAUUAUAUCCAGUUAUUUCUAUUUGAAACUCAUACUGCAAAUGUGAAAAUUCAACAUAUCAAAAGAACGUAGAUGUCCUAAUAUUUUCAAUAUCUCUAAUUUGCUUAAAGUCUGGAUAAUCCAAUUUUAAACAGAAAAAAAAAAUCAUACGUUAUGGUCUUAAAAUGAUUCAAGGAGUUGGAAUAAAAGAUACUGGAAUUUACAACUGUUUCAGAAUAUAACUCAAAUGUCUCUGUAAAAUAAUUCAUAAAACAAAUGCCUCCUUCUGGGAUGAUAUACCUAAGUAAUUAUUGUUAUUGGAGUAACUAAGCAGCAAUGUGAUAGAUACAUACUUAGAUAGAAGGACUUUGAAGAGC
This 1356-nucleotide long non-coding RNA is filed under the name Lynx pardinus (Iberian lynx). Lineage: Eukaryota; Metazoa; Chordata; Mammalia; Carnivora; Felidae. The record is from RNAcentral.